GACGAACGCUGGCGGCGUGCCUAAUACAUGCAAGUCGGACGCACAGUCUAUACCGUAGCUUGCUACACCAUAGGCUGUGAGUUGCGAACGGGUGAGUAACGCGUAGGUAACCUGCCUAUUAGAGGGGGAUAACUAUUGGAAACGAUAGCUAAUACCGCAUAACAGUAUGUAACACAUGUUAGAUGCUUGAAAGAUGCAAUUGCAUCGCUAGUAGAUGGACCUGCGUUGUAUUAGCUAGUAGGUAGGGUAAUGGCCUACCUAGGCGACGAUACAUAGCCGACCUGAGAGGGUGAUCGGCCACACUGGGACUGAGACACGGCCCAGACUCCUACGGGAGGCAGCAGUAGGGAAUCUUCGGCAAUGGGGGGAACCCUGACCGAGCAACGCCGCGGGAGUGAAGAAGGGUUUCGGAUCGUAAAGCUCUGUUGUUAAGGAAGAACGAGUGUGAGAAUGGAAAGUUCAUACUGUGACGGUACUUAACCAGAAAGGGACGGCUAACUACGUG
This 505-nucleotide ribosomal RNA is filed under the name uncultured bacterium. RNAcentral describes it as "partial 16S ribosomal RNA". It matches the Rfam family "Bacterial small subunit ribosomal RNA", at positions 28 to 507 of the family's 1533-position model. The record is from RNAcentral.